RNAcentral lists this ribosomal RNA (537 nucleotides) under uncultured Psychrobacter sp. RNAcentral's name for it is "bacterial SSU rRNA". It matches the Rfam family "Bacterial small subunit ribosomal RNA", at positions 84 to 619 of the family's 1533-position model. Lineage: Bacteria; Pseudomonadati; Pseudomonadota; Gammaproteobacteria; Moraxellales; Moraxellaceae. The record is from RNAcentral.
UCAGGCGUCGAGCGGCGGACGGGUGAGUAAUACUUAGGAAUCUACCUAGUAAUGGGGGAUAGCUCGGGGAAACUCGAAUUAAUACCGCAUACGACCUACGGGAGAAAGGGGGCAACUUGUUGCUCUCGCUAUUAGAUGAGCCUAAGUCGGAUUAGCUAGAUGGUGGGGUAAAGGCCUACCAUGGCGACGAUCUGUAGCUGGUCUGAGAGGAUGAUCAGCCACACCGGGACUGAGACACGGCCCGGACUCCUACGGGAGGCAGCAGUGGGGAAUAUUGGACAAUGGGGGAAACCCUGAUCCAGCCAUGCCGCGUGUGUGAAGAAGGCCUUUUGGUUGUAAAGCACUUUAAGCAGUGAAGAAGACUCUUCGGUUAAUACCCGGAGACGAUGACAUUAGCUGCAGAAUAAGCACCGGCUAACUCUGUGCCAGCAGCCGCGGUAAUACAGAGGGUGCAAGCGUUAAUCGGAAUUACUGGGCGUAAAGGGAGCGUAGGUGGCUCGAUAAGUCAGAUGUGAAAUCCCCGGGCUCAACCUGGGA